RNAcentral lists this transfer RNA (72 nucleotides) under Ovis aries (sheep). It matches the Rfam family "tRNA". Rfam says of the family: Transfer RNA (tRNA) molecules are approximately 80 nucleotides in length. Their secondary structure includes four short double-helical elements and three loops (D, anti-codon, and T loops). The record is from Rfam by way of RNAcentral. Lineage: Eukaryota; Metazoa; Chordata; Mammalia; Artiodactyla; Bovidae.
UCCCUGAUGGCUCAGAUGGUAAAGAAUCUGCCUACAAUGCAGGAGAUUCGGGUUCAAUCCUGGGUCAGGGAA